Molecule: non-coding RNA, 320 nt
Organism: Zootermopsis nevadensis
Lineage: Eukaryota; Metazoa; Arthropoda; Insecta; Blattodea; Termopsidae
Source: RefSeq, a predicted model, not a curated record
AAGUUGAGACGGAAGACAAAGAAGAAAAAAUGCACACAAUGUUAUCUGUUGCAGGGGCGUCAUGAUUUUGCUUGAAGUGAUUGGUGUUUUCUCGCGCAGACGUCAAAUCAUGGCUGGACAUGCAACAUAAGUAUAUAUAUAGGUGCGUGAUUGCUGUUCAGCAACUUGUCUUCAUUCCUGACGCUUGCUACGGAGACACUGCCCAAGACGCAUUAUUCCGCACACAAAGCUACAAUCUCAAGCCCAAGCAAUGCAGUUCCUUUGGCAUCUACUGAUACUAACCAUCCUGAUGGCAAAUGCUGCUCAUCUAUAUCAAACAA